CAAGGGGAUCUGUGGGUUUUCUUAGUUCUUCCAUUUUGUGUGAGGAAUGGAAACAGAAGGUGGUCCUUGCACUAGUAAUAAGUACAAUGGAAUCCUACAGUGGCAGUGAACAAUCCUGCUAUCUUUGUCUGAUCUCCUUCAUCCAAAACCAAAACUGAAACGAAAACCAAACCCAAAACAACACAAAGCUCUCACCAAAGUUGACCCAAGCUUAGGUCUUAGUGACAAAUAUUGUCCUUUACUUCAUACAGCCCGCAAUGAUGCAAGCUUUUCGUUUUGUGUACUGACUUUCUGACACACCCACUGCGUAAUUUUAAGUCCUGGACUAUGUAUACAGAGGUUGUUUUCCAUAACAAAGCAAGGCUAAUGGAAUCCUAAUUCCUUCAUAUAGUGGAAUUUUGUGUUUUUCCCAGCAUUCCAAUCAGCAUCAAAAUUUUAUCAGAAAGUUUAUUGAUUGAAGUUAAACUGUACCCAGGCAGCUGUGAUGCUGUUAGUUAUUGCAGGCUCCCUGGGGGUGAUGUUUGGCACAGAAAUCCUUCUGUACAGCCUCCCUAUGCAGUGAUCUCCAACAGAGCCCCUGUUUGCUCUGACUAAUGACAGACUAACCUUCGUUUGAGGACAAGUUGAUAAAAGCAAUUUUUUAGGGGCAAAAAAGAAUGAGCUGCUGAGUUAGUUGAUACAAUGAAUUCCUGAACAGAUGUAGCAAACCCUAGACUACAAAUAGUGCUUGAAAUCUUAAAUCAACACUUCAGACUUGUUGUAGCAUGAUGCAAAUGCAGGAAAGAGUCUUUUUUACUAUUCCUUUACAAUCUAGGAUCAAUGGAAAACAAAAGGCAGAGGACAUCCAUCACAGUCAGAGAAACCAGUACUACUUUUGGAGACGGAGGAAAAACUCUGUAUUAAUUUUUCUCUAAACACCCUGUGGAGGACAUUUGUCAUAUAUAUGGAUCAAAGAAUGGUAUAAAGAGACAAUGCAGAAGAGGAUGCUGAUUCACUAACCCAGUCUUGCCCUCCGAAAAAAUGGUUGCUUAUAUAUCCUGUCUUAGCCGUAUCUCCUAAAAAUGCAACUACAACUUUUAAAACAGGAUAUUGACCUCUAGCAUGAAUAAAACAUACUGCCCUUCCUUAAUACUUUUGUUCUGCUGUAACAGUAGUAGUGCUGACGUGGCUAGAGCAAGGGACAGCAAAGACCUAGGACAGCAAAACUUCAUAGAAACAGACAGUGCUACAUGUCCUUGUGAGACACAGCAGAGACAAGACGCUCCUUCAGAGAGGUCCUAUGGACAUUGAAAAUGUAGUAUCACUCUAUGGUACACAGGUUUUUUUUUUAGUGUGAGUAAUAACAUUUACAUAAUCAGAGAAGAAUCUGGUGACUACAAAGUCUUUUGUUCAUGACAUCAACUGCUGUCAGAGAAAAUGAUGAAAGAGCAGCGUUUUAAGAUUUUACUGAGAAGAUUUUGCUUGCCUCAAGAAGUUUCGGAAGAGUAUGUUUCUGGCAUAAAAGCUGCCCUUAACCUCACAGCAGGAGCACCCUAAGAUGUCUUGGAAAUUGAAGACUACUUUUAUUAUAAAAAAAAGAGAAUUAAUCCAUCACAAGUUGGAAAUGUCUCUUGAAGAUACAUGCUCCUUUCCAUUACAGCGUGGUCAAAUGCCAGCCUGUUUCUUUGAGGACUCUUCUGAAGAUUUUAAGCUAGCUAGUAGCUUGAUUUUACUCUCCCCUGACUUCUUUUUGCAGCAGAUUAGGUCACUGAAAUCUAUGGGAGCUUAGUUGUUAGAAA
Long non-coding RNA from Parus major (Great Tit), 1778 nucleotides. RefSeq lists it as uncharacterized. The transcript is spliced from 4 exons. Lineage: Eukaryota; Metazoa; Chordata; Aves; Passeriformes; Paridae. The record is from RefSeq and is a predicted model, not a curated record.